RNAcentral lists this ribosomal RNA (253 nucleotides) under uncultured bacterium. RNAcentral describes it as "partial 16S ribosomal RNA". It matches the Rfam family "Bacterial small subunit ribosomal RNA", at positions 524 to 776 of the family's 1533-position model. The record is from RNAcentral.
UACGUACCGCACGAACGUUAUUCGGAAUCACUGGGCUUAAAGGGUACGUAGGCGGCCUGGCAGGUGGGGUGUGAAAUCCCUCGGCUCAACCGAGGAACUGCGCUCCAAACCGCCAGGCUUGAGGAAGGCAGAGGUGAGCGGAACUGAUGGUGGAGCGGUGAAAUGCGUUGAUAUCAUCAGGAACACCAGUGGCGAAGGCGGCUCACUGGGCCUUUUCUGACGCUGAGGUACGAAAGCUAGGGGAGCGAACGGG